Molecule: long non-coding RNA, 473 nt
Organism: Cheilinus undulatus (humphead wrasse)
Lineage: Eukaryota; Metazoa; Chordata; Actinopteri; Labriformes; Labridae
Exons: 3
Source: RefSeq, a predicted model, not a curated record
GAAUCUCGUUGAAGAUCUACUCUCUUGCUGUUUUUUCUAACGUGGAAAGAUCAUAUUUUACUGUAAAACUACUCAGUACGUAGGAAUUAAAAGUUUACUUGAAGUAUAUUAUUAUGGCCAGCCUAUGGCACACCUGUGCAAUAAUCAUGUUGUCUAAUCAGCAUCUUGAUAUGCCACACCUGUGAGGUGGAUGGAUUAUCUUGGCAAAGGAGACCGCUAUGUAAUUUAAUCCAAACUAUCAGCCAGAUACAUGUUGUUGAUGGAGAGCUUGGACCUUUGUUCUGAUUUUAUUUUAUUUUAAUUGCUAACAUUCCUGAAAGCAUGAAUGAAGAGCGUUACAAGGAGAAACAGACGGAUGAAAUGACACCAACCAUGAAGGGAAGUGGACUAGAGCUGAAAAGAAAAGGACGUACUGCUUCUGCUGCCAAGCGAUCCCAGCACUGUCCGCACACUCUGUGAAGGAGAGGCCAGCU